RNAcentral lists this long non-coding RNA (252 nucleotides) under Lathyrus oleraceus (garden pea). Its description in RNAcentral is "Pisum sativum (pea) long non-coding RNA (PSAT_LNC015173)". Lineage: Eukaryota; Viridiplantae; Streptophyta; Magnoliopsida; Fabales; Fabaceae. The record is from RNAcentral.
GUUGAUCUGAUGGUUCUAAGGGGUCACAUGGUCAACGCAUUUGGACCUAUGGAUUUGGAUCCAACGAAUCUGGUCCAUUGAUGGUCCACCAUUGACCAUUGACCAGACCUCCCUCUCUUGGGAUCGACGCGUUUGGGCUUAGAGGGCCUUUUGCUACUUGGGUUCCUCUUCUUUCUUUUGCACCGACCUUUCUUUUUGUUUAUUUAUUUUUAUUUUAUCUUUUUUUAUUUAUUUUUUAUUUUAUUUACUUUC